UACGUAGGGGGCAAGCGUUAUCCGGAUUUACUGGGUGUAAAGGGAGCGUAGGUGGCAAGGCAAGUCAGAUGUGAAAACCCGGGGCCCAACCCCGGGAGUGCAUUUGAAACUGUCUGGCUAGAGUGCAGGAGAGGUAAGUGGAAUUCCUAGUGUAGCGGUGAAAUGCAUAGAUAUUAGGAGGAACACCAGUGGCGAAGGCGGCUUACUGGACUGUAACUGACACUGAGGGUCGAAAGCGUGGGGAGCAAACAGG
Molecule: ribosomal RNA, 253 nt
Filed under: uncultured bacterium
Lineage: Bacteria
Description: partial 16S ribosomal RNA
Rfam family: Bacterial small subunit ribosomal RNA
Source: RNAcentral